AAUUUAUUAACACGGUCAUCCUCAUAAUUGAUUACAAAACACUAUCAAACCAAACACAACACAUUUUACAUCCUAAAAUUUAAACACCGCAUAAAAAUACAAUUGAAUCUGAGCUUUGUUCCUCAAUUAUUAGCAUUAUUCUGUUUGCACAAAGGCUUUCUAGGCCUCAAAUUGCAACUCUUUUUUCAUGAAUAUGUCUGCAUUUUUUUUGGGUGAAUUGUCUUGAUAAUUUUCUUCAUCAACUGAAUCAACAACUUUAAUGUUCCAAUCCUGUAAUAGAUGAAAUAAAUUAAAAAAUGAAAGAAAACACAUGCAAGUGAAAGUGAUUCUAUAAGUCGGCCUCACACCUCAUUCUAUUCCAAUCAAAAAGAAGCUAUCCCACCAAAAAAGAAAAGAAAAAUAGCACAGAUAUGAAACUAUAAAAGAGAAAACAAAACCCAAAAAAAAAGGUUUAGAGUGAGAAAAUAUAGUAUAGAAAAACUAAAUAAAGACUAAAAAAAAUCCCUAUUUUGCUUUAACACAUACAAAUAUUAAAUAUAUCAAAUGUGAGUUUUGAUGCUAUAGACCCAUUAACAAUUUUGUAACUGCACAUUAUUUACAUGAUAAUAACUAAAAGCAACUGAACAUCACUACCAUCUUAGAAUUUUAUUUCCUCACAUUCUAAUAUAUCUUCUAGAUAAAUACUUUCAAGAUUGAAAUCAAUUUAAUUUGAUAAUUUCAGUAACAGUUUUAUAUUUGGUAUAAUAGAUUUUCAUAUACAUCAACAAUGCAAAAAAUGAUGGAUAACAAUAACUAAAACAAAAUAAGGCAUAAGGACUAACAAAAAUUAAUAAAAUCACAUACCUCAUGAAGUUUAUUUCUUCUACAUUUGGACUCGAUAAGAAAGCAUCUAAGCAUGAAGAAUAACCUGAGAGCAUCCAAUAUGAGAAUCCAUAGGGACAAAAGAAAUCAAUAAAAACAAACAAACUCAACUAUUAAAUUUGUAGAAAUAUCAUAAUUGUUGCGAAAAUAGCAAAUAGGCUCCUGCAAAUUUUCAAGUCUAGAAACUGAUUUUCAUACACAAAUUCAAAGUUGAAACUCUUAGCUUACUCUCAAGGCUUGUACAUACUCUUUUCGAUAUUCUAUUCUGCACUAUGCAAUACAACUUGAGAGAUAAUUUCACUGGAUAAGACUAUCAUAUUAUGCAUUUAGUUGACAAUGACAUUGCCGACUAAUAGCACUUGUCAAUAUUCAAUUUUAAAAGAAAAAUAAAUUUGUCAUUUCACUCCAAAAUUUUGCACGUCAUAAGACAUUAAUCCGCCUUACAUCAAAUUUACAUUUCAACUUACCAUGCAUUUGAACCACACUUUUCAGGUACACAAAUGAAAAUUUCCCUCUUAGCAAAUUACUCUAUUUAGAGCACAAAUUCCCACCUGGUACAAUCAGAGAACCAAAAAAAUACAAAAAAUAACUACAUUAUUUGAUAAAAAUUAUAUUAAAAAGAGCAAAUUAUAAAUAAACAGAGAAAAUAGUAAAUUAUCUGAUAAUGCAUCAAAUCCACUAUCAAAUAAUAAGAGAUGUUCCUUCAGUCCUGAGAUGAAUUUCACAAUUUGGUUUGAUUUGUGCAUUAAAAAUGAUCAAAAAAACUUAUUUUUAUCUUUCUUCCUACCCCCUUACAUUUUUUGGGAAAAAAGUGAAAACAUUUAGAGUUAAACCCCUCCUAUUUGAAUCAACUAACCAAGAAAUAAUAAUUGGAGUACUAAACUGAUAGUGUCAAAAGAACUUUAGGUGCAAAUUUGUUAUAAAGUGUCUGUCACCAAAACCCACUCAACCAUGGCAAGUUAUCCAGCGGGGUGUUUUCAUAUGAGUUUAUCACAUUUGGAGAGAAGAAAUUCCUAGAACUCAAUGAUAUACUUACAAUCCAUUUAACUUAAAUUAUUUUAAUUAAAAUUUCAAUCUGGCUCAAAAUAUGAAUCAUAAGUGUCAAUACAUUAACGCAUAUAAACAUUCUCUUAGUCUUAUUUCAUCAAACACUUAAACUACAGUUCUAACUACACGUCCCCCCUCUUUAUCUUUUAUGGGUUUUACAAAUAGAUUAGUGUGGGGUCUUCUAUAGAUAUGCACUCACCAAAUACAUCUAUAUCCUCCUUAUUACAUAUUAAAUCACACCUUAGCUAAGACUAAGAGAAUAUUAAAGUGAGAAUAUAAUCUUUCCCAACUCUAUUAAAUCACACACAGUACCUUAUAAAAAUUUCAAAAUCACACACUACAACCAAAAUAAUUAUAAAAAUUUCAGAAUCACAUAAUUUUCAGAAAUAUAACAAUAAGCAACAACUUCACACCAAGUUUAAUUACUUAAUGAAUCCCAUGAGGUCACAGGAGUAACUUCACUGUUGUUGGACCUCUAAAAGAAAAUCCAAAACAAAUCUCACAUUAUAUUGAGAAAAUAUUCACCAUUUCCUGCCGUUUCUAUAAAUAUUUCUUAAUUUUUUCUUUUUUUACUCGCCGUAGAUUCAAUAAUUGAUUAAUCUGAACCUGCCGCUGCCACUGUCGUGGCUUGUGAUCGGAAAAGACAGAGAAGCCGAUAAGGGUUAAUGAGUCACUGAAGAAAAGCCCUAAUUUUAAGUCAGAAAUUAAGGUUCGAUCAUCCAAUUUACAAUCAACAUAAAACCCAUCAAAACAAUCAAUAUAUAAUCGAAAAGAUAAACAUAUGUACUGAACUUACGAAGAGAAAUAAACUUAAAAGUUCGCUUUGCCGACCUUCAGAGAGCUCAAGAAAGAAGAAACUCAGAAAUGAUUGUGAGACGUCGAUCUCUCCAUUAUCGGCAAUCCAAUUGAACGACGAUCAAUUUCAUGUCUUGAUGCUCUCAUUACAUGUUGUUGCAACCCAAUUCUAGGAUUUUAUGGGAUGAGGAGGAGAUUAAACCGAGAUGGGAUUUAUUGAGGGGGAGAUGAAGAGAUACAAUCGAGGCUGAAGAAGAGGAAUGCUUUAAUUUUUGGUCGAUUAGUUUUAUUAUUUCUUAUUUUGCUCGGGAAUUGAAGGGGGAAAGAGAAGGUAGUGAGGAAGAGAGAGAGGGAGAGGAAGACUGGACGACAGAGAAACCGUCGAUUUAUCGAUUGAAAUGGACUGGAUUUCUGAGAUUUUCAAUUUGACAAGAGUUAACUCAGUGAGUUUUUCAAUUUAAAAGAUU
Molecule: long non-coding RNA, 3170 nt
Filed under: Panax ginseng (ginseng)
Lineage: Eukaryota; Viridiplantae; Streptophyta; Magnoliopsida; Apiales; Araliaceae
Description: long non-coding RNA (PGIN_LNC012744)
Source: RNAcentral